GACGAACGCUGGCGGCGUGCCUAAUACAUGCAAGUAGAACGCUGAAGAGAGGAGCUUGCUCUUCUUGGAUGAGUUGCGAACGGGUGAGUAACGCGUAGGUAACCUGCCUUGUAGCGGGGGAUAACUAUUGGAAACGAUAGCUAAUACCGCAUAACAAUGGAUGACACAUGUCAUUUAUUUGAAAGGGGCAAUUGCUCCACUACAAGAUGGACCUGCGUUGUAUUAGCUAGUAGGUGAGGUAAUGGCUCACCUAGGCGACGAUACAUAGCCGACCUGAGAGGGUGAUCGGCCACACUGGGACUGAGACACGGCCCAGACUCCUACGGGAGGCAGCAGUAGGGAAUCUUCGGCAAUGGGGGCAACCCUGACCGAGCAACGCCGCGUGAGUGAAGAAGGUUUUCGGAUCGUAAAGCUCUGUUGUAAGUCAAGAACGGGUGUGAGAGUGGAAAGUUCACACUGUGACGGUAGCUUACCAGAAAGGGACGGCUAAUUACGUGCCAGCAGCCGCGGUAAUACGUAGGUCCCGAGCGUUGUCCGGAUUUAUUGGGCGUAAAGCGAGCGCAGGCGGUUUGACAAGUCUGAAGUUAAAGGCUGUGGCUCAACCAUAGUUCGCUUUGGAAACUGUCAAACUUGAGUGCAGAAGGGGAGAGUGGAAUUCCAUGUGUAGCGGUGAAAUGCGUAGAUAUAUGGAGGAACACCGGUGGCGAAAGCGGCUCUCUGGUCUGUAACUGACGCUGAGGCUCGAAAGCGUGGGGAGCGAACAGGAUUAGAUACCCUGGUAGUCCGCGCCGUAAACGAUGAGUGCUAGGUGUUGGAUCCUUUCCGGGAUUCAGUGCCGCAGCUAACGCAUUAAGCACUCCGCCUGGGGAGUACGACCGCAAGGUUGAAACUCAAAGGAAUUGACGGGGGCCCGCACAAGCGGUGGAGCAUGUGGUUUAAUUCGAAGCAACGCGAAGAACCUUACCAGGUCUUGACAUCCCGAUGCUAUUUCUAGAGAUAGAAAGUUACUUCGGUACAUCGGUGACAGGUGGUGCAUGGUUGUCGUCAGCUCGUGUCGUGAGAUGUUGGGUUAAGUCCCGCAACGAGCGCAACCCCUAUUGUUAGUUGCCAUCAUUCAGUUGGGCACUCUAGCGAGACUGCCGGUAAUAAACCGGAGGAAGGUGGGGAUGACGUCAAAUCAUCAUGCCCCUUAUGACCUGGGCUACACACGUGCUACAAUGGUUGGUACAACGAGUUGCGAGUCGGUGACGGCGAGCUAAUCUCUUAAAGCCAAUCUCAGUUCGGAUUGUAGGCUGCAACUCGCCUACAUGAAGUCGGAAUCGCUAGUAAUCGCGGAUCAGCACGCCGCGGUGAAUACGUUCCCGGGCCU
Molecule: ribosomal RNA, 1369 nt
Filed under: uncultured bacterium
Lineage: Bacteria
Description: bacterial SSU rRNA
Rfam family: Bacterial small subunit ribosomal RNA
Source: RNAcentral